UGAGGAAUAUUGGUCAAUGGGCGCAAGCCUGAACCAGCCAUGCCGCGUGCAGGAAGAAGCAUCUAUGGUGUGUAAACUGCUUUUAUACAGGAAGAAACAACUCUACGUGUAGAGUCUUGACGGUACUGUAAGAAUAAGGACCGGCUAACUCCGUGCCAGCAGCCGCGGUAAUACGGAGGGUCCAAGCGUUAUCCGGAAUCAUUGGGUUUAAAGGGUCCGUAGGCGGUCUUAUAAGUCAGUGGUGAAAUCUCCUAGCUCAACUAGGAAACUGCCAUUGAUACUGUAAGACUUGAAUACUUGUGAAGUAACUAGAAUAUGUAGUGUAGCGGUGAAAUGCUUAGAUAUUACAUGGAAUACCAAUUGCGAAGGCAGGUUACUAACAAGUUAUUGACGCUGAUGGACGAAAGCGUGGGGAGCGAACAGGAUUAGAUACCCUGGUAGUCCACGCCGUAAACGAUGGAUACUAGCUGUUCGGAGCAAUCUGAGUGGCUAAGCGAAAGUGAUAAGUAUCCCACCUGGGGAGUACGCACGCAAGUGUG
Molecule: ribosomal RNA, 539 nt
Filed under: uncultured bacterium
Lineage: Bacteria
Description: bacterial SSU rRNA
Rfam family: Bacterial small subunit ribosomal RNA
Source: RNAcentral